This 525-nucleotide ribosomal RNA is filed under the name uncultured bacterium. RNAcentral describes it as "bacterial SSU rRNA". It matches the Rfam family "Bacterial small subunit ribosomal RNA", at positions 777 to 1297 of the family's 1533-position model. The record is from RNAcentral.
AAUAGAUACCCCGGUAGUCCACGCCGUAAACGAUGUCGACUUGGAGGUUGUGCCCUUGAGGCGUGGCUUCCGGAGCUAACGCGUUAAGUCGACCGCCUGGGGAGGUACGGCCGCAAGGUUAAAACUACAAAUAGAAUUGACGGGGGCCCGGCACAAGCGGUGGAGCAUGUGGUUUAAUUCGAUGCAACGCGAAGAACCUUACCUACUCUUGACAUCCAGAGAACUUGCCAGAGAUGGCUUGGUGCCUUCGGGAACUCUGAGACAGGUGCUGCAUGGCUAUCGUCAGCUCGUGUUGUGAAAUGUUGGGUUAAGUCCCGCAACGAGCGCAACCCUUAUCCUUUGUUGCCAGCGGUUAGGCCGGGAACUCAAAGGAGACUGCCAGUGAUAAACUGGAGGAAGGUGGGGAUGACGUCAAGUCAUCAUGGCCCCUUAGAGUAGGGCUACACACGUGCUACAAUGGCGCAUACAAAAGAGAAGCGACCUCGCGAGAGCAAGCGGACCUNAUAAAGUGCGUCGUAGUCCGGA